This 478-nucleotide ribosomal RNA is filed under the name uncultured bacterium. RNAcentral's name for it is "partial 16S ribosomal RNA". It matches the Rfam family "Bacterial small subunit ribosomal RNA", at positions 28 to 523 of the family's 1533-position model. The record is from RNAcentral.
GACGAACGCUGGCGGCGUGCUUAACACAUGCAAGUCGAACGGUAAGGCCCUUCGGGGUACACGAGUGGCGAACGGGUGAGUAACACGUGGGUGAUCUGCCCUGCACUUCGGGAUAAGCCUGGGAAACUGGGUCUAAUACCGGAUAGGACCUCUGGCUUCAUGGUUGGGGGUGGAAAGCUUUUGCGGUGUGGGAUGGGCCCGCGGCCUAUCAGCUUGUCGGUGGGGUAAUGGCCUACCAAGGCGACGACGGGUAGCCGGCCUGAGAGGGUGACCGGUCACACUGGGACUGAGAUACGGCCCAGACUCCUACGGGAGGCAGCAGUGGGGAAUAUUGCACAAUGGGCGCAAGCCUGAUGCAGCGACGCCGCGUGAGGGAUGACGGCCUUCGGGUUGUAAACCUCUUUCAGCUAUGACGAAGCGCAAGUGACGGUAGUAGCAGAAGAAGGACCGGCCAACUACGUGCCAGCAGCCGCCGCGG